GAAGGAACAGAAGGAAAUUAACAGAAUGGCACCCAAAACAAGUCCAGAUAGACUGCCUUCAUGAGAUUAAUUUCCAUUAAACACACUCUAAUCGAUUUCAGUCGUUUUGCUAACAUAUGACUUUCAAAAAUGCUCUCAAAUACCACAUAAUUUAGGAAACAAAACACCAAAAACUUAUAAGUGUGGACAUAGCCUUAGCCACUGAAUUCGACCACCCCCAUCUCUUCAACCACAUGCCAUUUCUCCUCCCACCCACCAAAUUAAUAAUUGACAGGCAGAAAGUGUUUCGUGGCAGGAAGGGUCAAGUUUGCAGCAUGCAACAAGAGGAGGGAAGAGCAAUCUUGCCAGUAGAGAAGGCCAUCAUUACACUGAACAACCUCAGGCAUGUGAACAGUUUUGUCAGGAAUAGGUUGCGCUCACUGGCAGUACUGCGUCAGCACAUUCUCCUGAUUUCCUCUGACAAGAAGAACGGGAGGUCGAAGGUCACGGGACACAAUCUCUAACCAAGCCAUGUAGAGGGCACUAGGGCACGCCCCUCUUUGCCCAACAGGCAUGGUGCUACCAAACAAAAAGUCACAGAUGACCAGUGAUAUCAGGCUCUGGUUCUUGGUGAAGGUGCUGAUAAAAUCCACCAGGGAAGGACGCAUAGAGGGCGGUCCACUGAGAACAAGACACUGUGGUCUGAGAAAAAAAACAGAUGGAAAAAGUAGGGCACAUGGAGAAAUGAAGAGAAUGAAUGAACGCAAAUGGCAAAAGAGAGAGGAGGAUACACAUGAGCAAAGCCCAAUGGAAAAACAAACAACAACAUGGAAAGAAUGAAAGGUUUCUUAUACAGCACAUAUCCCAGCAGGAAGAUGAUUAUGCCAAUGGCUAUGAGAGCAGCCCACCAGGUUAGGAGAAACAUGAUGAUUACAGACACUACCGCUCCAAGCAAAGACAGCCACUUGCUGUAGAAUCGAAAAGUUGGAC
Long non-coding RNA from Myxocyprinus asiaticus (Chinese sucker), 969 nucleotides. RefSeq lists it as uncharacterized. The transcript has 4 exons. NCBI's taxonomy places the organism in Eukaryota, Metazoa, Chordata, Actinopteri, Cypriniformes, Catostomidae. The record is from RefSeq and is a predicted model, not a curated record.